RNAcentral lists this ribosomal RNA (243 nucleotides) under uncultured bacterium. RNAcentral describes it as "partial 16S ribosomal RNA". It matches the Rfam family "Bacterial small subunit ribosomal RNA", at positions 524 to 766 of the family's 1533-position model. The record is from RNAcentral.
UACGAAGGGGGCUAGCGUUGCUCGGAAUGACUGGGCGUAAAGGGCGCGUAGGCGGAGUGCUUUGUCGGGCGUGAAAUUCCAGGGCUCAACCUUGGGGCUGCGUUCGAGACGGGCAUUCUAGAGUGGAGAAGAGGGUCGUGGAAUUCCCAGUGUAGAGGUGAAAUUCGUAGAUAUUGGGAAGAACACCGGUGGCGAAGGCGGCGACCUGGUCUUUUACUGACGCUGAGGCGCGAAAGCGUGGGA